AUCAGGUUCAUAGACUUACAUAAGGGUCGCCUCCAAUUUCAGGUAGUGAUACCUUGCGAUCAUCUCGACUUGCCAUAAGAACCCACACAUUAAAUUUUGUGUCAAUCUAUGACUAUUUAUGUACAAACUGUUUUCGUUAUAUAAGAGGUCUUACAAAUCUG
Molecule: long non-coding RNA, 161 nt
Organism: Abrus precatorius (Indian licorice)
Lineage: Eukaryota; Viridiplantae; Streptophyta; Magnoliopsida; Fabales; Fabaceae
Exons: 3
Source: RefSeq, a predicted model, not a curated record